CCUGGAGCCCUGUCCUGGGGGAAUCUGGUCCGACCUCACAUGGCCAGCAGUGACCACCCCAGGGCCUGUGCAGGAGGGGACGUUCACAGAUAAACUGGAGGCACCUGUGCCUGGAGAAGCCUGAGGGAAAACUGCUAUGGCCUGUCCUUGGGAGAGGCCGAGGCUCCCAGGUGUGCCUGGAGGGGCCGUCCUGGGAGCAGGACAGCAAGGAUUGUCCAUGAGGUGUCAGGGCGGUGCUAGGACACCUUGGGCUAUGUCUGGGAGCUGGGACCUGUCACUGGUGCCAUGAGUGGAGACCAAAGGAGCCCCUCAGCCUGGUGAGGGCUCAGGCCAGGACUCACAUUCCCAUUCCCAGCAGAACAGGCUCUGCGUGAGGCGGGAUGCUGGAGGACACACUGGGGCCCACUCGACCAACACUCUGAGGAGCAUUUCAGGUGCUUUUCCUAAAGCUGAAUUCUCUGUAAAGGAGAAGUGACUAGAAACUGGCUUAACUUUGUUAAGGCACAGUGACACACUGAGGCUGCUCCACUUAAGGUAUGGUAUGAACCAGGAGCUGUGGAAUGUGUUCACAUGGAUCAUCCUGCCUGUGGAAUGAGUGGCCACAUGGAUCAUCCUGCUGCAGCUGCUGUGUAAGCAAGGCCUAAAAGACAAUCCUCGCCCUUGUGACUGUGUGGCAGAUAAGACAGACAAUGGGCACGAGGAAGACCCCCAGCUAUCAGGGAAGGAUGGAUACUGUUCAACCAGCCGGGAACAAAGAAACCUGGGCUGCUCAAGGCCCUGCAGGACUGUCCAGGAGUGUCCUUCCCUGCCUGCUGCUUCCAGGAACGUGACACUUUGGAACUGUUUGUGUCAGGGCUCCCUGCUUUGACACCUUUGAUUUCUGAGACUGCCUCAUUUCAGGAAACCCCAGAGCUCCUCUCCACAAGGAUUUCUGCAUCCAGCGGCUCUCAUGUCUUCACUGGAUACUGAAAUGAGAUGGAAGGGCUUGAAUGUUUCCUUGGCAAGACGGGUGGAUGGAAUUAGUUUAAUCUGUUCCGAUUUUGGUUCUACCAAGUCAACUGGACCCAAUCACCUCCUCUGCUAAAAGGCUGCAGAGCAACAACCCACUGGAAUAUUCCUUGUGCUGAAAACAGGAAGAUCUGGAACGAGGGUUUGUAACUUUUUUGGAUGAGUUUCUAUGUUACGAUUUUUACCUUUAGUAUCACCACUUUAAAUAAGAAUAUUUAUAUGUUGAAAUAAAUGCCUUUUUUUUUUUUUUUUUUGCCCUGAAAUACUGGAAUAUGCCUCCACAGCUUCUUCCUACCUCAGCUCUGCCCCUGUGAAGAGAACCCACUUGUGGAUUUCAAAGUCAGAAGGACAAGCUGGAACCUCUAAGAGAGGAUGUGCACAGAGCAAUUCCUGCAAUUCCUCCUGCAGCCAGGGCCCUGAUGAGCGGAUCUUUUUCUUACCUGCUCCAGGAACUCCUGUAUAAAUGUCUGACAAGCUCUUCCAGGGCUUUAUAACUUUGUGUCUCGUUCCUUAAGGCAAGCUGCACGUUGCCUGCUUAUCCCGUUCCGUCUUGUACGGCCCCUGUGGAUGGAAGCCCUUCCUGUGUGUGACUGCACGUGGUGGAGGGGAGAGCACGGGGGGUUGGUGCUAUUUUUGUCUGAUGUGUUCCCAAAGCAGCUCUCCCAGUUGCCACACUGCCUGUCAGGGUGGAGGGCUGGUGCAGCAGAGGUCUGUAGGGACACUUGGUACAGGGCCAGGGGGGUCACAUGCAGGAUCCUUGUGCACAUCCUGCAGUGGGAUCCAGCCCUGCUGGUCCCUCUUUCUUUCAGGACACUCUCAGCAGACCCCUGAAUCCAUUUCUCGGUGCCCAGGCCAGGCCACCAAGACUUCCAAGAACAGAUCUGACUGGUUUUAGUUUUCUUUCUUUUUAAGGUUCAGCGUCACUGAGCACCUCCAAUUUAGCUUGAAAAAUAAAAUACCUAAAAUAAAGGUGUUUGUUUGAAAAGCACGUGCAGGUAAUCAUGGAGUUUUUUCAAGCUCAGCCUCAGGUGAUGCCAUCAGCUUCUACUGCAGUUAAGCACUGCCCCAGACUUCCUUCAAGCUGCCAUUCCCAGUCUGUGCAAAGCAGUAUGAACAUUAAAACAGGCCCUGCUGAAAUAAAACACCCUGGUAGUACUUGCAUGAACACACAGUUUCCCUGAAAAACAGGUAACAAGCACAUGAACUACACCUGAGCCACCAUCUGAGCUGCCUUUCACAUCUGUGGAAGGUGCAGAGCAUCCAGAUUAGCAAUAGUGUUACCCCAGCCCACAGAAAACAGACCCGAGGCAGCAAAGAGCAGAGAGUGCAGGGUGAGAUCCCAAAGGGGAAAAGAAA
Molecule: long non-coding RNA, 2364 nt
Organism: Empidonax traillii (willow flycatcher)
Lineage: Eukaryota; Metazoa; Chordata; Aves; Passeriformes; Tyrannidae
Exons: 2
Source: RefSeq, a predicted model, not a curated record